RNAcentral lists this long non-coding RNA (1537 nucleotides) under Homo sapiens (human). RNAcentral's name for it is "HSALNT0323034". The record is from RNAcentral. Lineage: Eukaryota; Metazoa; Chordata; Mammalia; Primates; Hominidae.
UCAGAGGUGGAGAAAGUCAUAAGAAUCAGGGAGCCUGCCCCAAAUUGCCUCCUAUGAUAACUUUCCACAAAGACUGGAGGGGAGGCUUCAAACAUCUUCCUGCAGUGUCCAGCAAGACAGCGAGGCAGACUCCCUUUCUCCUGCCAAAGCCACGUGGAGCCAGACAGAACCACAAGCAUACCUGUGGUGCUUGGAGGCCCAAGUAGAAACUUGAAUGCUCACGGCUGCAUUGGCAGCUUCUACUUGCCUGCCUGGAUCACCGUUCCUCAUGAGAACUUGGAAAAGCAGGACUAUCAUUCUUGCUUGACAGACGAAGAAACCAAGCCUCAGUUUUGUAGGCUCCUACCAGUGAAAGCCUCCUCACAACUCUCUUCUUCUCCCCAAGGACUGCGUGCAAUUCUACUUGGAGAUCUUCAUAACACCUUAAGGGAAAAAUCCUUUUUGAAAGAAAAACAAGUCUGGGUGGUGCUUGAAAAUUCAGAAGGCAGCUAGAAACUCUGCCAAUUACAACUGGUGAUUGCUGAGUUCUGGAGACAGACUGGGCUUCUGCUUUCUUUUGGUGGAGGUGUCUGCUUGCAGAAAAUUUAUGUUCUGGGAUUUACAACUUCAGGGAGACAAAGGAAACUCCAGCUCAUCUCCCACAUCAUUGAUUGAGAGGACCAUUUUCUGACUGUCUGCACACGUUUCCUAUACUACCCUUUAAUGCAACAAUGGGAUGAAGAGAUGAAGACUUCUAGCAGGCUACCUCAGAAAGGUUGCUGACCAAAGGCUGUAUGGACCAAAAAGUCAUAACACCACCCUGGAUGAAAGGACAUUUACCUAAGGAAUUACCCGCUCUCAAUUCUUCCCAGGGAUGGGCAUUUGAAUUAUUUCCAGUUUUUGGCUAUUAUGAAAAAAACUGCUAUGAACAUUCAUACACAAGUGUGUGUGUGGACCCAUGUUUUCACUGAUCAAGGCCUAAAUACCUACGUGGUGCUUCGUGAACCCUGGAUGCUACAGUCUCUGGCCACAGCACUAAAUGUAUGCUGAGAUCUGGCUUCACGGUCGAGGGUGUUGCUGGUUUUCAAUGUGCCUGACAUAGGAUCAAUGGUGAAUGCACCAGAAGCCUCAUCAGUCAGAAAAUACUCAGUUUGCCCAUUCAGGCCUUCAUCCUUGUCCACAGCUGAAAGCACAAGAACCACUGUUCCCACUUCAGCAUCUUCUCUCACAGAGGACUGGUAAUAAAGUGUGGGAAAAGAAGGACUGUGGUCAUUGGCAUCCAAAACUCUAACUUGCAGGUGUAUUACAGAGCUCCUAGGUGGAUCUCCCAGGUCAGAGCACAGAAUGACAAGGGUAAAAUUGCUGAUUUGCUCCCGGUCCAAAGCACGAGUGGUUGAGAGUUCUCCUGACAUCUCAUUUAUAGUAAAGCACUCAUCAGUAUUUCCAUCUAUUAAAGAAAACAAUUACAAAUUCAUUUGAAUUGAAAAAGUAGCAGCUCUUUGCUAGCACUAUCUAUGGUAUUCAUUUAUACAUUCAUUAAAAAUAUAUUUAUUCCCGA